CGUGCUGUCGUCUAACUGGUUAGGACGCUGCCCUCUCAAGGCAGAAAUUUGCGGGUUCGAGCCCCGCCUGCACGA
RNAcentral lists this transfer RNA (75 nucleotides) under Bacteroidales bacterium. RNAcentral's name for it is "tRNA-Glu". It matches the Rfam family "tRNA". From Rfam's summary of the family: Transfer RNA (tRNA) molecules are approximately 80 nucleotides in length. Their secondary structure includes four short double-helical elements and three loops (D, anti-codon, and T loops). Lineage: Bacteria; Pseudomonadati; Bacteroidota; Bacteroidia; Bacteroidales. The record is from RNAcentral.